This 350-nucleotide ribosomal RNA is filed under the name uncultured bacterium. RNAcentral's name for it is "bacterial SSU rRNA". It matches the Rfam family "Bacterial small subunit ribosomal RNA", at positions 75 to 422 of the family's 1533-position model. The record is from RNAcentral.
UCUUUUCGGAGACAAACGUGGCGGACGGGUGAGGAACACGUGGGGAACCUGCCCAUGGUGGGGGGUAGCCCGCGGAAACGCGGGGUAAUUCCGCAUACGCUGGUCUGGGGGUAGCCUGGAUCAGGAAAGGGCUCUUCGGAGCUCGCCGAUGGAGGGGCCUGCGUCCGAUUAGCUGGUUGGUGGGGUAACGGCCUACCAAGGCGGUGAUCGGUAGCUGGUCUGAGAGGACGGCCAGCCACAGGGGAACUGAGACACGGUCCCCACUCCUACGGGAGGCGGCAGCAAGGAGUUUUCCGCAAUGGGCGAAAGCCUGACGGAGCAACGCCGCGUGGGGGAUGACACCUUUCGGG